Cyprinus carpio (common carp) is the source of this 234-nucleotide long non-coding RNA. The record is from Ensembl. NCBI's taxonomy places the organism in Eukaryota, Metazoa, Chordata, Actinopteri, Cypriniformes, Cyprinidae.
GCAAAUUUCUGAAGCUAACCAGCGAAAACUUCACCCCAUGUUCAGACCUGAACAUAAACAGCUUCUUGUGUUUGUGUGCUGAAUUCUCAUAAAAAGCCUCUUCAGCAGGAAAAAGAGCAGCUUGGACAUCCUGCUACUCUUCAAAAGACACAAGGACAAAUGCAGAAGUUCAGCGCUGAACCUUCGGCGAAGUUUGAGGGCUCCUCUCAUCGACGUUGAUCAUUUUAGGGUACU